CUGUGCCAAUUGAUCAUCGUUAAGUGACAAAGCUAAAAAAGACUACUAUAAAGUGCCCAAUUUAAGCCAAAUAAGAUAAAAAGGUGGCGGAGAGCAGAACAAGACCACCCAGUUUUGAGUGGUGCGUUGAAAUACCCACAAAUAGAAGCCCAGUGAUAUGGAGAAAUUACAACAAUUACGCCAUUUCCCAUGGCUCAACGGACCUGAGGCCCCGACUUUGAUCCGCGGAUUUCAAUUCGUUUAUAUAAAGACCAGCGACUGUAAAUAUGUACAAACCCUUAUGGAUAUGCCUAUAUAAAAGUACAAAUUUGGUGGCCUUUUGACCUACAUACAUACAUAUGUAUAAAGGAAAAUCAUGGCGACACAAAAUGGCCGACUCUGAUGACGUCACCGUGUAAAUUUAGUGACUUUGUUGGCUUACAUACGAAUGGUGAAAUCAUGGCGACACAAAAUGGCGGACCUCGAUGACGUCACCGGGUGAAGGGUUAGGAUCCCAGAUUGUGGAAGUCAUAAAUGUGUAUCGAUGUCAUGGAAAAUCCAGCGUUUGAAAAUAAUAGGAGCCUUCAAAUUUGAACUGCGAUCGGAUCCUCAUUUCAAGAAAAUUCGAAUGAUCUUCCUACUUGAUGUCAGUGGACAAGAAACAACAAUCGACCAGCAAUCAGAUGCCUCCACAGGUUUUUCAUAGGUUGAGGCAAAGGUAACCCAUAGCUUGAACGAAAUGAGCCUCUCUUGACAUUAUGAAGAACGUUUCAAAGUUUGUGGAUCAUUGUGGAACAAAUUUAUUUUUAGAAAGUCCGAGUUGACUUCAGUCCUAAAGAGCUAUUGAAUAUAUUAUUAAAUACUUUAUUAAUAAUGUUAUUUUUCCUUAAAACAAGAAAAGAAGUUAACUUCGGCAAGCUGAAGCUUUAUACCCUUGCAC
Drosophila biarmipes is the source of this 919-nucleotide long non-coding RNA. RefSeq lists it as uncharacterized. The record is from RefSeq and is a predicted model, not a curated record. NCBI's taxonomy places the organism in Eukaryota, Metazoa, Arthropoda, Insecta, Diptera, Drosophilidae. The transcript is spliced from 3 exons.